RNAcentral lists this unclassified non-coding RNA (238 nucleotides) under Melitaea cinxia (Glanville fritillary). RNAcentral's name for it is "misc RNA ENSMCXG00005021277.1". The record is from RNAcentral. Lineage: Eukaryota; Metazoa; Arthropoda; Insecta; Lepidoptera; Nymphalidae.
UUUCAGCGGUAUAGUUUUAUACUUUUGCGACAUUUCGAAGUUUCUUGUUUUUGAUAUUGUAUCGUUCCCGGAGGAUAGUUUGGUAUAUAAAGCGUUAUGACGUUAAAUUUCUACUUUCAUUUCGAAACAAUAACUGUUGGAUAACUUGUUACUUUUAAUGUUAUCUACAACAUCAUAAAACCAUAAUAAUAAUCAUUUAACAAUAUUUGCGCACGUAAUGUGACGUAGUAAAUUAAAA